UUUUUGUUUUUUGUUUGUUUGUUUGGCUGCACCUGUGGCAUAUGGAGGUUCCGAGGCUAGGGGUCAAAUUGGAGCUACAGCUGCCAGCCUAUGGCACAACCACCACAAUGUGGGAUCCAAGCCACGUCUAUGACCUACACCAGAGCUCAUGGCAACACCAGAUCCCUGACAGACUAAUCAAGGCCAGGGAUUGAACCAGAAUCCUCAUGGAUACUAGUUGGAUUUGUUUCUGCUGCACCACAACAGAAACCCCCAGAAAUAACAGUUUUGAUUUGAGGAGGAAGACUGCUUCACAAGAGAAAUAACUUUCCCUGAAAAUCCUCAAUAAAUUAAGAAGUCACCCUCAAGUACAAUUCUGCUUCUCUUUCCAGAGUAGACAUAUUGGUUUCUAGUCCUCACACAUUCUAGUGCUUAAAGCAUGCUUGUUAAAAUGAGCUGCCUUGUUCUGGCUGAAGGAUGACUUAGAAGCAACUAUAGGCUUAUUAUUGCCCCUUUAUUCUUAGUGUAUUUUCCAAUGGCUUCAGAGAGGGUUUGCCUAAGUGUGGGUAUUUUUCAGCACUAUCUCUGAUUAUGAGGCAUCUGAAUCAAACUCCAUCUGUUGAUAAAACCAGUGUUUAUUAUGCUGCUCUCUAUGUGAGUUGUUUUCUUGCUGGUUGAAGCAGCUAAAAUAUUCUGAGGCUUCACACUCCAUUUGUGUCUUGAAUCUGACCCCUUGCCUCUUGCACCUCCCCAUCUCACCUCAGUCUCUUUUCAAAUUCUCAGCCCACACUCCCACUAGUGCUACUCCUCAGUCAACACUCACACAUGCUCAAAUUUUUCCCUUCCUAAAAUAAAGGUGAAACAUCUUCCAUCCUGUGCACUCCCUCCCUUCCACCCUACCUCCUUCCUUAAAAAAUAAACUUCUUAAUAAAGUUGUCUGCACACAUCAGGUCACUUUUUCUCAUUUUCUGCUCCUACCUUCACCUACUGCAAUCUGGCUUCUGCCUCCAGAGCUCCACAGAAUCUGCUUUCCUUCAAGUCACAACUAGUCUUUGGUUAUUAAAUCCAUCUGGCAUUUUCAAAGACUUCCUGCAACACUGGACACUGAUAUGUGUGUGUGUGUGUGUGUGUGUGACAUUUUAAAUUUAAUUAUUAUUAUUAUUUUUUCCUUUUUAGGGCCACACCUGCAGCAUAUGGAUGUUCCCAGGCUAGAGCUGCAGCUGCCAGCCUAUACCACAGCCACAGCAACAUAAGAUCCAAGCCACAUCUACAACCCACACAGCAAUUUGUGGCAACACUGGAUCCUCAACCCGUUGCACGAGGCCAGGGAUUGAACACCCAUCCUCAUGGAUACCAGCCAGGUUCUUAUCCUGCUGAGCCACAAUGGGAACUGCUAUUUUUUUUUUUUUACUUUUUUAAAAUUUAGUGUUACUAAAGUACAGUUGACUUACAAUGUUGUAUUAGUUUCGGGGAGAUAGCAACAUGAAUCAGUCAUACAUAUAAAUCUCUCCAUUCCUCUUUCUCAUAUAGGUUAUUACAAAUGAUCAAGUAGACUUUUCUGUGCUUAACAGUAGGUUCUCAUUAAUCAUCUAUUUUAUACAGCAGGGUGUAGAUGUUAUACCCACUGUCCCAGUUCCUCCCUCUCCCCAGCAGUUUCCCCUAAGAGAACCAUAAGAUUGGUUUUGAAAUGUUUGUUUCUGCUUCAUAAAUAAGUUCUUUUGUAUUGAUUUUAUUAGAGUCCAUAUAAGUGAUUUCAUAUAUUUGUCCUUCUCUUUCUGACUUACUUGACUCAGUAUGACAAUCUCCAGGUUGAGCCAUGUCACUGCAAAUGGCUUUUUUCCCCUUGUUCAACGCCCAAUAUCCCUGGAGUUCCCAACCUCCUUAGACACUCUUUCUUCAUGUCCAGGGUACCCUUUUUUACCUUACCCAGUAAGUUAUAAUACCAUCCAAGCAUCUGUUCUAGCUCUUCUCUUUUCACUGUUACCAUACCCAUGACCUCAACUCUCUUCUACACAGUGGUGAAGGCCAAGUUCCCCUCUUGAACCCAGACAUCUUGUCUUACCUCCAGAACCACAUGUAGAUUGCCUCUCAGAAAGCUUCUCUUACCAGAACGGUGGAUACUCCAGGGCUCUACCCAGAGCCCUUCCUCAGAGCUGGCUACCCAUCCCACUCUCCCCAGCUGCUUAGGAUAUUAAACUGCUCACAGCUGUGUCCUGAUCAUUCAAGGUUAUGCCCUCUUCCAAAAGGCAGCAACAGAAAAUGACUUGGUCAUGUGGGCAUAAAAAGGCCAGGCCCCUUGCCUCAAUGUUCAGUACUACGAAGUGCCAUCUGGAGCUCCAGGUUGAAGUGGCUGACUUCUCAGUUGCAACUGUAUUUUCGCAUCUGCUUUGGCCUUUGCCCUCUCCUUCUCUCAUCACUUCUCUGUAAGAUUAUCUCCUAGGAGAAUAUCCAAUAAAUCUUCUACAUUCAAUUCUCCAUCUCAGAGUCUCCAUACCAGGGAAACCAAUCAACAUCAAAAGGAAAUUCAUCCUACUCCCCUAUAAACUUAAAAAAACUUUUUUCCUCCUUAUUUAAAGCUUUACUCUUUAAUUAGCAACCAUAAAAACAAACAAACCAGCCAUGGUAGGACUCAGAGGCAAAGGCAGAAACCCCCAAACAGCCAUUUUUCCCUAACUUCUCAGGCUUAAAGAGAGUUUAAACCAGACCAGACUCAUCCCAGCUCUGGCGACAGCCUACUGUCUGCAUUCUGAUUCCAGUCACAAUGGUUGGAACCUGGUUGCGCUUCAUUCAAGGGCCUCAUUCAAGGGUAUUCAUUGCUUCUUCCUUCUCUUUUCCACCUCCUGAAAUAUUCGCCAUCUCAGUACAUAGCACCAUCAUAUAGCCAGGUGAUCAGGUGAGACACUUGGGAAUCACCCUUGACUUCUUCCCCACAUAUCUAUCACUCACCAAGCCAUGUCAAUUAUUUUAUUUUUAAAUUUUUUAUUAGACUAUACUUGAUUUACAAUGUUGUGCCAAUUUCUGCUGUACAGCAAAGGUACCCAGUCAUGCAUGCAUAUACAUUCCCUUUCUUAUAUUAUCUUCUAUCACAGUCUCUCGUAAGAGAUUGGAUAUUGUUCUCUGUGUUAUACAUAGGAUCUCAUUGCUUAUCCAUUCUAAAUGUAAUAGUUUGCAUCCACUAACCCCAAACUCCCUGUUCAUUCCACUCCCUCUCCUCUCUCCCUUGGCAACCAAAAGUCUGUUCUCUAUGUCUGCAAGUUACAUCAAUUCUAAUUCCCAAAUAUCUUUCAGGUUAAUCUUACUUCCUCCAUUUUUACUACAACUUAUUCAGUUCCAGGAAGCCUCUCCUCUCCCAAGACUAUUCCAGUGCAUCCCAACCAGCAAGCCAGGGCUAGAAGCUGGUCAUCUCAAUGCUUGGCUGGCUGUAUGGGACCUGAGGUAGCCAGGACUUGCCACUCAUUUGCAUUUAUCCAAAAAUAACCUCUUCCAGGGGUCCAGAUUACCACCAGGGUCCCGGCACUUUCCAUACAACAUUAUCAUGUUCUGUGUAUGUCGUGCUGUGAAAAAGACAGAAAAUUACCGUUGCCACUUGGUCCUAGAAGGUCCCUCGUUCAUGGGUCUCCCCUCCCCUAGAGUAGAUGAUAAGCCCCUUAAAGACAGGGACUUGGCAUUUUCUGUCUUUCUGUUGUCCAGAGUUCAGCCUAAGCCUAGCAACCAGCAGUCGCUCACCAAAUAUUUGAUGAAUAAAUCAAUAAACUAGUUAAUCCAUCCUUCAAAAGAAGAAAGGAGGAAAAGGAUGCAAAGAAAGGAAACAAUGAAAACAAGAAAGGGAAUGGAAAAGAAACCAGCUUCUCAUCCUUCUAAGAGUCUUGUUCCUGGUAUUGAACUGAUUGCCAUGAUGAGGGAUCUCAUUUAGAAGAUAAGAGGAAUGUUGACAAUCUGGAAAACCAGGUUUUCAAUCACAGCCACAUCUUCUCAUUUGGUCCUUUUUAGUGUAUAAUCUCCAAGAUGGCUUAUAAUACCAGCUUGGGCAGUGAAGUACUUUGCCCAACAGAGAGGAAUCAAUAAAUAUGAAUUAAUAACAAUAAUGAAGGAAUAAGUAGGUGGAUCCAGAAUGAAAUGGCUAAGCAAACUUCACCUGAGGCAAAUCCACCACCAGGAUGGACGUUUUAUACUAUUGGUCCUGCCUGUUGAAUUACAACUCUUUUUGACAGUAGACAAACACCGGUCAACAAGUGGAAAAAUACGUGUUCAUGUCCCAGCUCAACUAGGUACUAGAGCUGUGACUUUGGGGGAGGCAUUUAAUUUCUUUGAACGUGCAUGUCUUUGUCUGCAAUAAGGCAGGAUUGGAUUCGAUGAUGUUCAUGUCCACUUCUAAUGCCAAGAUUCUAUCCUGAUCUGUGCUGUUAUUUUGAGCUCUCUCAAUGUCUGUCAAUCCAUUGGUUUUUUUUCAAAUGGAAAAUAUUAAUUCAAACUGCCUAGUGUUUUACUAGUGUUAUCUAAAAAUAAACUUUAAAACAGGAGCCAGGAAACUAUUCUGUGAAACAAUGCACGUCAGCUUUUAACCAACUGCAGCCUUCUUCUUCUUCACCUCUUAAAGCAUGUGCUUCAAACAGGACAGAUAAUGAGAGAACAUACAUACUUAUUUACCAAGUUGACCUAUCAAAGAGGAGGGGAAAAAAAAAAAAAACACAUGGAAAUUUAGGCAACUGUUGACUGCUAGAGAUUAUUCAGAUGGGAAGUCUGACGUAAACUCGCACAACAGAAAUUGAAAAAAAUUAUAAAUCAACUAUACUUUAAGAAAAGAAAAACAAAGCCAAAAAGAAGGAAAGAAAGAAAGAGAAAGAAAGAAAGAAAGAAAGAAAGAAAGAAAGAA
RNAcentral lists this long non-coding RNA (4852 nucleotides) under Sus scrofa (pig). Its description in RNAcentral is "lncRNA (ENSSSCG00060038720.1)". The record is from RNAcentral. Lineage: Eukaryota; Metazoa; Chordata; Mammalia; Artiodactyla; Suidae.